AGUGAACGCUGGCGGUAGGCCUAACACAUGCAAGUCGAACGGCAGCACAGUAAGAGCUUGCUCUUACGGGUGGCGAGUGGCGGACGGGUGAGGAAUACAUCGGAAUCUACUUUUUCGUGGGGGAUAACGUAGGGAAACUUACGCUAAUACCGCAUACGACCUACGGGUGAAAGCAGGGGAUCUUCGGACCUUGCGCGAUUGAAUGAGCCGAUGUCGGAUUAGCUAGUUGGCGGGGUAAAGGCCCACCAAGGCGACGAUCCGUAGCUGGUCUGAGAGGAUGAUAAGCCACACUGGAACUGAGACACGGUCCAGACUCCUAAGGGAGGCAGCAGUGGGGAAUAUUGGACAAUGGGCGCAAGCCUGAUCCAGCCAGACCGCGUGGGUGAAGAAGGCCUUCGGGUUGUAAAGCCCUUUUGUUGGGAAGGAAAAGCAGCAGGUUAAUACCCCGCUGUUCUGACGGUACCCAAAGAAUAAGCACCGGCUAACUUCGUG
RNAcentral lists this ribosomal RNA (492 nucleotides) under uncultured bacterium. RNAcentral's name for it is "partial 16S ribosomal RNA". It matches the Rfam family "Bacterial small subunit ribosomal RNA", at positions 29 to 507 of the family's 1533-position model. The record is from RNAcentral.